AAGCCCAGACGCCAUUCAAGACGUUUUCUCCAGAUUUGCAAUCUGGCGCAUUUUGCUUCAUAGGCC
Molecule: transfer RNA, 66 nt
Filed under: Xantusia arizonae
Lineage: Eukaryota; Metazoa; Chordata; Lepidosauria; Squamata; Xantusiidae
Description: tRNA-Cys
Source: RNAcentral